UGAUUUCCCAGAACCAG
This 17-nucleotide unclassified non-coding RNA is filed under the name Mus musculus (house mouse). Its description in RNAcentral is "oocyte_clustered_small_RNA6168". Lineage: Eukaryota; Metazoa; Chordata; Mammalia; Rodentia; Muridae. The record is from RNAcentral.